CAGCAGCCGCGGGAAUACGUAGGGUGCGAGCGUUAAUCGGAAUUACUGGGCGUAAAGCGUGCGCAGGCGGUUAUAUAAGACAGAUGUGAAAUCCCCGGGCUCAACCUGGGACCUGCAUUUGUGACUGUAUAGCUAGAGUACGGUAGAGGGGGAUGGAAUUCCGCGUGUAGCAGUGAAAUGCGUAGAUGUGCGGAGGAACACCGAUGGCGAAGGCAAUCCCCUGGACCUGUACUGACGCUCAUGCACGAAAGCGUGGGGAGCAAACAGGAUUAGAUACCCCAGUAGUCCCUGUCUCUUAUAC
This 301-nucleotide ribosomal RNA is filed under the name uncultured bacterium. RNAcentral's name for it is "partial 16S ribosomal RNA". It matches the Rfam family "Bacterial small subunit ribosomal RNA", at positions 509 to 807 of the family's 1533-position model. The record is from RNAcentral.